AUUGAACGCUGGCGGCAGGCCUAACACAUGCAAGUCGAGCGGAUGAAGGGUGCUUGCUCCUGGAAUCAGCGGCGGACGGGUGAGUAAUGCCUAGGAAUCUGCCUGGUAGUAGGGGAUAACGUCCGGAAACGGGCGCUAAUACCGCAUACGUCCUGAGGGAGAAAGUGGGGGAGCUUCGGACCUCACGCUAUCAGAUGAGCCUAGGUCGGAUUAGCUAGUUGGGGGGGUAAAGGCCUACCAAGGCGACGAUCCGUAACUGGUCUGAGAGGAUGAUCAGUCAAGCUGGACCUGAGACACGGUCCAGACUCUUACGGGAGGCAGCAGUGGGCAAUAUUAGACAAUGGGCGAAAGCCUCAUCCAGCCAUGCCGCAUGUGUGAAGAAGAUCGUGGGAUUGUAAAGCCCUUUAAGUUGGGAGGAAGGGCAGUAAGUUAAUACCUUGCUAUUUUGACGUUACCAACAGAAUAAGCACCGCCUAACUUCGUG
RNAcentral lists this ribosomal RNA (484 nucleotides) under uncultured bacterium. RNAcentral's name for it is "partial 16S ribosomal RNA". It matches the Rfam family "Bacterial small subunit ribosomal RNA", at positions 30 to 507 of the family's 1533-position model. The record is from RNAcentral.